GUGCUCACUUUGACAGCACAUAAAUUAAAAUUGGAACAAUACAGAGAAGAUCAGCACGGCCCCUGUGCAAGGAUGACAUGCAAAUUUGUGAAGUAUUCCAUAUUUUU
Small nuclear RNA from Gracilinanus agilis (Agile Gracile Mouse Opossum), 107 nucleotides. NCBI's taxonomy places the organism in Eukaryota, Metazoa, Chordata, Mammalia, Didelphimorphia, Didelphidae. The record is from RefSeq and is a predicted model, not a curated record.